UNUUAAAAGUUCGGGGCUUAACCCCGUGAUGGGAUGGAAACUGCUGAUCUAGAGUAUCGGAGAGGAAAGUGGAAUUCNUAGUGUAGCGGUGAAAUGCGUAGAUAUUAGGAAGAACACCAGUGGCGAAGGCGACUUUCUGGACGAAAACUGACGCUGAGGCGCGAAAGCCAGGGGAGCGAACGGGAUUAGAUACCCCGGUAGUCCUGACCGUAAACGAUGGGUACUAGGUGUAGGAGGUAUCGACCCCUUCUGUGCCGGAGUUAACGCAAUAAGUACCCCGCCUGGGGAGUACGACCGCAAGGUUGAAACUCAAAGGAAUUGACGGGGGCCCGCACAAGCGGUGGAGUAUGUGGUUUAAUUCGACGCAACGCGAAGAACCUUACCAGGUCUUGACAUUGAUGGACAGAACCAGAGAUGGUUCCUCUUCUUCGGAAGCCAGAAAACAGGUGGUGCACGGUUGUCGUCAGCUCGUGUCGUGAGAUGUUGGGUUAAGUCCCGCAACGAGCGCAACCCCUAUCUUAUGUUGCCAGCACUUUGGGUGGGGACUCAUGAGAGACUGCCGCAGACAAUGCGGAGGAAGGCGGGGAUGACGUCAAAUCAUCAUGCCCCUUAUGACCUGGGCUACACACGUACUACAAUGGGAGUUAAUAGACGGAAGCGAGAUCGCGAGAUGGAGCAAACCCGAGAAACACUCUCUCAGUUCGGAUCGUAGGCUGCAACUCGCCUACGUGAAGUCGGAAUCGCUAGUAAUCGCAGGUCAGCAUACUGCGGUGAAUACGUUCCCGGGCCUUGUACACACCGCCCGUCACACCACGAAAGUCGGAAGUGCCCAAAGCCGGUGGGGUAACCUUCGGG
Molecule: ribosomal RNA, 855 nt
Filed under: uncultured bacterium
Lineage: Bacteria
Description: bacterial SSU rRNA
Rfam family: Bacterial small subunit ribosomal RNA
Source: RNAcentral